Molecule: ribosomal RNA, 499 nt
Filed under: uncultured bacterium
Lineage: Bacteria
Description: partial 16S ribosomal RNA
Rfam family: Bacterial small subunit ribosomal RNA
Source: RNAcentral
AUCAACGCUGGCGGCGUGCCUAACACAUGCAAGUCGAACGCGAAAGCCCCGCAAGGGGUAAGUAGAGUGGCAAACGGGUGAGUAACACGUGGGUGACCUGCCUUCGAGUGGGGGAUAACGUCCCGAAAGGGACGCUAAUACCGCAUGACAUCCUGCUUUUGAAAAAGCGGAGAUCAAAGCUGGGGAUCGCAAGACCUAGCGCUUGAAGAGGGGCCCGCGCCUGAUUAGCUAGUUGGUGAGGUAACGGCUCACCAAGGCGACGAUCAGUAUCCGGCCUGAGAGGGCGGACGGACACACUGGGACUGAGACACGGCCCAGACUCCUACGGGGGGCAGCAGUGGGGAAUUGUUCGCAAUGGGCGCAAGCCUGACGACGCAACGCCGCGUGGAGGACGAAGAUCUUCGGGUCGUAAACUCCUGUCGAGCGGGACGAACGCUUCGCGGAUGAAUAAUCCGCGGAAUUGACGGUACCGCUAAAGGAAGCCCCGGCUAACUCCGUG